Molecule: ribosomal RNA, 503 nt
Filed under: uncultured bacterium
Lineage: Bacteria
Description: partial 16S ribosomal RNA
Rfam family: Bacterial small subunit ribosomal RNA
Source: RNAcentral
AUUGAACGCUGGCGGCAGGCUUAACACAUGCAAGUCGAGCGGGGUGAUGGUGCUUGCACUAUCACUUAGCGGCGGACGGGUGAGUAAUGCUUAGGAAUCUCCCUAUUAGUGGGGGACAACAUCUCGAAAGGGAUGCUAAUACCGCAUACGUCCUACGGGAGAAAGCAGGGGAUCACUUGUGACCUUGCGCUAAUAGAUGAGCCUAAGUCGGAUUAGCUAGUUGGUGGGGUAAAGGCCUACCAAGGCGACGAUCUGUAGCGGGUCUGAGAGGAUGAUCCGCCACACUGGGACUGAGACACGGCCCAGACCCCUACGGGAGGCAGCAGUGGGGAAUAUUGGACAAUGGGGGGAACCCUGAUCCAGCCAUGCCGCGUGUGUGAAGAAGGCCUUAUGGUUGUAAAGCACUUUAAGCGAGGAGGAGGCUCUUUUGGUUAAUACCCAAGAUGAGUGGACGUUACUCGCAGAAUAAGCACCGGCUAACUCUGUGCCAGCAGCCGCAGUAA